CAAAGAGGGCCAACAGCGUUCAGGACAGCGAAGGAAGGCAAGCCCCCAAGGCUCAGAGUUGGGGAAUUUUGCUGCUUGAAAUACGGCUGUACUCGCCCGCUUUCAAUCGAAGAGUGUUACAGGAAGGAAGCCUCCAUCUGAGUUUUCUCGGCUCUGACGGUCUAUUCCCAAAUGCUGCGACAUAUGCGCAGCUUUUGCAAAUGCGGAUGGGAAUUGGCUUGAACUGGCGUGGAGUGAAGUUAGACACCGAGUGCGCGCACCCUAAGUGAGCCGAGCCACUUUCUUCUUCCAAUCUGGGCGCCGACACAAAACAGCACCGCUCAAAACUCGUUUGCCCUUCGCGGACUGGAUCGUUUCUGUGCCGUCCCGGAGGAGUAAAGGAAAAUGAGCUACACAGAGGGAGGCAUCCUCUGCGGCUUGGACGCGCCCCUUGUGCUCCGCUCUGUUUUAACAGCUGCACUUCGAAAUAGGGAAUGUUCUGGAACUGCAUAGAAAGCAACGUAGGAGCCGUCGAGGCCAGGAAGCCCAGCCUUGUGGAAGCUGGGGUCCGCCUCAGGUUGAGGGGUUUGUGUGGUUGAGCACCUGUGUGUGUGUGUGCGUGCGUGUGUGUGUGUGUGUGUGUGCUGAGCCCUGUCUUUGUACCCUGGGAGAUGGAGUUCUGAAGGGGGCAUUUCUCCUGCCAAAAUACACACACAGCCUGGGAUUAAAAGGGCUGAAACCUACCAGCAAGUUCUUACCGCCCUCCCACCAUCAUUACACCAAA
This is a non-coding RNA of Oryctolagus cuniculus (rabbit), 763 nucleotides long. Lineage: Eukaryota; Metazoa; Chordata; Mammalia; Lagomorpha; Leporidae. The record is from RefSeq and is a predicted model, not a curated record.